CAUCCAAAACAACAGUGACUGGACAACUGAGGGAGGUGAGUGGUGUACUUAAAAGUCCUGUGUGAUGAGGUGCUGACAGGGUACAGGUGUGUGUGAUCAGCUGAUGGUGGAGUGAUUGCAGGUGAGGGCUAGGGAGGAUGAUGGGAGAUGGAGUCCAGGACAGAUGGAGACUGUGACAUAAAUAGUAUGAUGGCUUGACAGGUUGAGUUGAGUUCAACAGUAAAGGCCAGAGGACCAAUUACACCCUCCAUAUUCUGGAGAAGCACAGGGGAGGCCACAAAGAGAUUGGGAUCUGGUACUCUAAUAACACUCUACUGUUGAACUCCACCAGUCUGGACAUCAGCGUCUCUGAGACUCUGGCUAACAAGAGCCUCAUCAUCACCACCAUACUGUACUCCUAUAUACCAGCUAUUUAUUCCUAGGAAAAGGAAGUAACAACUAAACCUGAUUGGGAUGUCAUAUGGGCCAGAUGUUUCAUUGCAUCUAAGAACACAUCAGAGAGCAUCAGAUAAUCCACUAUAAACUUAUUAAUAGGGCUUAGAUUACUCCAAGUUUAUUGUAUAAAAUGAAGAUCAGAUCUGAUCCUUAUUGUCAUCUAUGUAAUAAUUCUAUAGGUUUGUAUUUGCACAUGUUCUGGGAAUGUCCUAAGGUGGUACCUUUAUGGACAUUUGUAUGGCCCUCUCUGAUGUUUUACAUCUAGAAAUACCUCAGGACCCCUUGAUCUUCCUGCUCGUAGAUGACUCUACACUUCAGCUAAAUAUUCAUCAAAAGAGGAUCCUAUUGGCUGCAGAUAUCUUAAAACUAUGGAUUGAACCAUCCACCUCUUCUACUUCCAUCUGGCUUUCUUACUUCAGAGACAUUACCUUGCUUGAGGGCACCACUGCUAAACUCAAUGGGGCCAAGGACAGAACUAUUCAAAGCUGGUCAAUAACCGCUGAGAUGUUGUUAGAAAAACUAAAACCUUGACUUCCCAAUUAUGUGUAGCCUACUUGUUUUAUGUAAUCAUUUUACUUUGUUCUGGAAAUUUUCAUGGCAUCUGUUUGUAUAUAGUUCAUUGAAUCUGUGAUAAUGUUUCUGAGACUUAUAAUAUAAUGUUAAUCAAAUAUUGUGAUUAAUUGUGAUUAAUUUGAAUAAGAAAUUGACAUAUAAAGUAAUUCAUUUGUAAUUAAUUUUCAUUAAGAAAUUAAACUCAUGGGAACUGAUUUCAGGUUUUAAUAACCUUAGAGAGACCAACUGUUUUAUAACAAAA
Molecule: long non-coding RNA, 1249 nt
Organism: Megalobrama amblycephala (Wuchang bream)
Lineage: Eukaryota; Metazoa; Chordata; Actinopteri; Cypriniformes; Xenocyprididae
Exons: 4
Source: RefSeq, a predicted model, not a curated record